CUCGUAGUUGGAUUCUGUUGAGGUCGGGCGGUGUACACCUCGUGUAUUAUUUGCUUCGGUCUCGGCAUCCUCUUGGGGAACGUAUCAGGACUUUAUUGGACUGCGCGAGAUUCAAGACUUUUACUUUGAGGAAAUUAGAGUGUUCACGGCAGGUAAGUGCUUUGAAUACAUUAGCAUGGAAUAAUAAUAUAGGACCUUCGUUCUAUUUUGUUGGUUUCUAGAACUUAGGUAAUGAUUAAUAGGGACAAUUGGGGGCAUUCGUAUUAACGCGUCAGAGGUGGAAUUCUUGGAUUGCGUUACGACGAACUACUGCGAAAGCAUUUGCCAAAGAUGUUUUCAUUGAUCAAGAACGAAAGUAUGGGCAUCGAAGACGCUUAGAUACCGUCGUAGUCUAUACCAUAAACUAUGCCAACUAGGGAUUGGACGGGUUAUCCUAUGUGGCUCGUUCAUCACCUUAUGAGAAAUCAAAGUUUUUGGGUUCCGGGGGGAGUAUGGC
RNAcentral lists this ribosomal RNA (496 nucleotides) under uncultured marine Syndiniales. RNAcentral's name for it is "SSU rRNA". It matches the Rfam family "Eukaryotic small subunit ribosomal RNA", at positions 627 to 1129 of the family's 1831-position model. Lineage: Eukaryota; Dinophyceae; Syndiniales. The record is from RNAcentral.